GUCAGGAGCAGAUAUGUGCAUGAAGAGGCCUUCAAAUCAUUCUAAAAGUAUAGAUUUGCAGAUGAACAAAACUCUUCCAUAAAACUCUGAACACUUUGUGAUGAAUGUUUAGCUGUUACUUUCUACACCUCCAUGCUGAUACAGAAAAAAGAGGCCGAUCUUGCCAGCAAAUUACAACAUACCCAUUUUCUUCCUUAAUUCUGUAACCAUCACAACCAUAUCCUUGCAACAAC
This 233-nucleotide unclassified non-coding RNA is filed under the name Hevea brasiliensis (rubber tree). Lineage: Eukaryota; Viridiplantae; Streptophyta; Magnoliopsida; Malpighiales; Euphorbiaceae. The record is from RNAcentral.